RNAcentral lists this transfer RNA (74 nucleotides) under Elusimicrobia bacterium RIFOXYA1_FULL_47_7. RNAcentral describes it as "tRNA-Met". It matches the Rfam family "tRNA". From Rfam's summary of the family: Transfer RNA (tRNA) molecules are approximately 80 nucleotides in length. Their secondary structure includes four short double-helical elements and three loops (D, anti-codon, and T loops). Further hydrogen bonds mediate the characteristic L-shaped molecular structure. tRNAs have two regions of fundamental functional importance: the anti-codon, which is responsible for specific mRNA codon recognition, and the 3' end, to which the tRNAs corresponding amino acid is attached (by aminoacyl-tRNA synthetases). tRNAs cope with the degeneracy of the genetic code in two manners: having more than one tRNA (with a specific anti-codon) for a particular amino acid; and 'wobble' base-pairing, i.e. permitting non-standard base-pairing at the 3rd anti-codon position. Lineage: Bacteria; Pseudomonadati; Elusimicrobiota. RNAcentral also lists the same sequence under 8 other names. The record is from RNAcentral.
GGGCCUGUAGCUCAGUUGGUUAGAGCAAUCGACUCAUAAUCGAUUGGUCGUAGGUUCAAGUCCUACCAGGCCCA